UUUCCGUAGGUGAACCUGCGGAAGGAUCAUUCAUAAUAAAGUGUUUUAUGGCACUUUUUAGAAAUCCAUAUCCACCUUGUGUGCAAUGUUAGAUCUCGUCAAUCUUGGCGAGAUUUUUAUACAUCAACUCAUUCUUUAACUAAUUUGUCUGAAAAAUAUUAUGAAUACUUAAUUCAAAAUACAACUUUCAACAACGGAUCUCUUGGCUCUC
RNAcentral lists this unclassified non-coding RNA (211 nucleotides) under plant metagenome. Its description in RNAcentral is "partial contains small subunit ribosomal RNA, internal transcribed spacer 1, and 5.8S ribosomal RNA". The record is from RNAcentral.